This 253-nucleotide ribosomal RNA is filed under the name uncultured bacterium. Its description in RNAcentral is "partial 16S ribosomal RNA". It matches the Rfam family "Bacterial small subunit ribosomal RNA", at positions 524 to 776 of the family's 1533-position model. The record is from RNAcentral.
GACGGAGGAUGCAAGUGUUAUCCGGAAUCACUGGGCGUAAAGCGUCUGUAGGUGGUUUAAUAAGUCAACUGUUAAAUCUUGAGGCUCAACCUCAAAAUCGCAGUCGAAACUAUUAGGCUAGAGUAUAGUAGGGGUAAAGGGAAUUUCCAGUGGAGCGGUGGAAUGCGUAGAGAUCCGGAAGAACACCGGUGGCGAAGGCGGCCUGCUGGGCAGUUGCUGACACUGAGGCGCGACAGCGUGGGGAGCAAACAGG